Molecule: long non-coding RNA, 1541 nt
Organism: Pistacia vera
Lineage: Eukaryota; Viridiplantae; Streptophyta; Magnoliopsida; Sapindales; Anacardiaceae
Exons: 3
Source: RefSeq, a predicted model, not a curated record
UUAUUAUCAGCGUGGCUUUGUAAUGAUUAUGAUGAGGCAGUUUCAUCUGAGAGUGCUACUCAAAGCUCUUUGGAGAAGAAUACCCUGCGGAAUGCAACCUUCCCUAGUGCAUCUGAGGUAAUUGGAGUAAGUUGAUGAUGGGUAUGGUAGAUAGCAUGUUUGUGACAGAUAUGAAAAUUGCCCGAGGGUAGAGAUGGGCUGGGUUUUGCUUCCUCCACACAAGCUUCCCAUCUUGCCCAGCCCAAAAUUAAAGGAAACGAAAGGGUCAAACUAAAAGGAAGGAUAAGUAGUGUUUAGACUUUAGAGUACUGGGUGAGUUGGGCCAAAACCAAAGCCCAAAUUGUAAGUAAAGGGAAAGAUCGAUCAGAGUUGGUGGCAAUAGCAGCGAAUGUUAACCCCAUUUUCUCGCAAACUACUACUCAGAUCUCUUUAUCUCUAUCAGCUGUGCCUUCUCCUUUGACCAAAAACUCGAAGAUCCACCUUCUUGUCUCGUAUCAUCUCAUGUGUUCUCUUGUUCUUUUGUGUUUUCUCUUUCUUUUUAUGUUCUUCGAUCUGCUCUCUCCGUUUGGGUUUUGGUUUUUAUCAAAAGAAACUCACUGUUAUGUUAAUGUGAAUAUCGUAUGAGUUAAGUUAAUAUCUUUAUGCUCUCAUUUUUAUUUUACUUGCUUUUAUUUUUAUUUUGUUGGAUUCAUGUAAUUUGAUUAGAUUUUGUAACUCUUUUUUGUGUUAUAAUUUUUUAGAAAUGUAUUUAGAGGAACUUUUUUUUUUUUUUUUUUUCAAUUUCUGUAUUUUUAUUAUGAACGCCACAAUCUGGAACUUAGGAUCUUCUUGACCGGCAAUAGAACCCUUGAGAGAGAGCUUAGAAAAGUUUAUUGAUUCAACACUAUUCUUCCUGAUGAUGCAAACUAGGUAAUUGCAACUCCCAUGACGGAAUUUCGAAGAGUAUCCCAUGCUUGCUUGGAAUUGGUUUCGUUGGCAACCUUCUCGAACAUAUCAUCAUCUAUGCCUUGAUGAAUAAUGGUAAGCGCACAUUGAUCCUUCUUCCUUUCUUUCUUCGAGGCAUCCUUUUGAGCAUGAUUCAACUCCUCUUCAUUUUGAGGUUCUACAUUAACCUUUUUCAACAACCUCCCAUACUCCUUGGGAACCAAGGAAAGCCUUCAUUCGAAUUGCCCAAUUCUCAUAAUUGUGCUUGACGAGUUGCUGGUAUUGGAAAGAAAGAGUGGCUACUUUGGAAGACAUUCUCUUCAAUCAAGCCUCUAUACCACUUUGUUGAAGCAAGAUGGGCACAAAGCUCACAAGGAAAGAGGAAAUAGAAAAGGGAUUCACAAAUCAAACUUCUUAUUUCACUUGUUGAACAUAGCUUGAGUACAUGACUAUAUAUACUACUCAAAAGAAAACUCAAGAGUCUAAAUUUAAGAACAUAUAAUUCUAUUCACGUCCAUUGGACGUUUUACACACCAAAAGACACACAUAUUGCGGUUUCUCCUGUUUCUUGGUUUUCAUUAAACAGUCAAUAGUAAGUUGGUCAUAACUUUCUCAAU